CAGCAGCCACGGUAAUACGGAGGGGGCUAGCGUUGUUCGGAAUUACUGGGCGUAAAGCGCACGUAGGCGGAUUGAAAAGUUGGGGGUGAAAUCCCGGGGCUCAACCUCGGAACUGCCUCCAAAACUAUCAGUCUUGAGUUCGAGAGAGGUGAGUGGAAUUCCGAGUGUAGAGGUGAAAUUCGUAGAUAUUCGGAGGAACACCAGUGGCGAAGGCGGCUCACUGGCUCGAUACUGACGCUGAGGUGCGAAAGCGUGGGGAGCAAACAGGAUUAGAGACCCGCGUAGUCCCUGUCUCUUAUAC
Molecule: ribosomal RNA, 301 nt
Filed under: uncultured bacterium
Lineage: Bacteria
Description: partial 16S ribosomal RNA
Rfam family: Bacterial small subunit ribosomal RNA
Source: RNAcentral